UUGGAACAAACUGUGCAACGUUACCUAGGCUCAUUUAACUCUUUGUCUUUUUCCUAUUUAACUAAAUUAUUAAUUUUGUAAUUACAUAAUGUGAACACAGUUGGAUUACACCGAACUUAUUGUAGAACUUACGAACUGCAGGUAAAUAGUAAUAAAAAAUCCUUGCUUUCAUUUUAAGUGUAUUUUAAUUCUGAUAUAAAUAAAAAACGCUUUAUCAAUUUCGUACGACCGAAGCGCAUUCUGGGUUUAUUCUCACCAGAAACUCAAACUCAAAAUCUUUUGAAAGCAGUUGAUGUACACUGUAUGCAUACGUAGUCUAAACAUUAGAAGCUACUUCAAACUCUGCUCGAGCGAGUUUUAGAUAUCUGUAAUUUGCCAAAAGGAUUUUUAAGGAAGUUUCUAUUUUUUUGCUUUAUAUUCUAAUCUUUUAGAAGAAAAAAAUGAUGGUAAAAUACUUUAUUAAGCACCUAUAUCAGUGCUUCGCAUCUAUGCUAACUCCAAAAACCAUAUGUCAUUUGCAUACAUUGUAUACAAAAAACACUAUUAAUAGUAACUUCAUGACAUAGUUUGUGUUUGCACAUUUAAUUAUAAACUGUACAUCAUAUACAUCAGAUCUAUUUUUCGAGAAAAAAAAACCCCAUGUCAAUCUUUGAUGGUUUUAAAGGAAAAUAUCAAUUAUUAAUCAAUUGAUGUACGGCGGCGGGCAAUAACUUGAAAACCCUUUGACAAAACCUUUAAAAAUUUGAGCUCAUGGCAAAAGAAAUAGAAGCAGGAAACAAACGUCUCCUGAAAAAAACUGAGAAACUAAAUAAAAAAAUGGAAAAAGUACAAUAACUACGCAUUCACAUGACCACCACAGGACACAAACUUUAAAAUAUUCCAUAGAUAAAAAAAAUAUAUGACCAAAGGUCUAACAACUUUUUUCGAUUUGCAUAAUUUGUAUUAUUUUGAAAAUACAGUUUUAUUCAAAUGAUGAUAAUCACGAGGUUGCAUCACCACAACAAGAUUAACAAUCCCCGAAUUCCAAGGUCAAACAUAUUAAACUUGUGUCCGCAUAUUACAUGUAGUGGUAGAUAAACUUUAAAAAAUAAUAUGCGUUUUGAAUAUGAUAUUCCAUUACUCAUGCCAGGGACGCAAUUCUUGUAUUAUUAAUUCGACCUUUAACUUUAAACUGGUAAACAAAUGAUACAAAAGUUCAAAAGUAUUACGCAUUCCCAUGACCACCGCAGGACACAAUUAAGAUAUUCCAUCGAUAAAAUAUUUAUGGUCAAAGGUCUACCAGUCACUUUUGUUUGAUAUGCAUAUAUAAUUUUAACGUUUUAUUUAAAUAAUGAUAAACAAGAAAUAAAUCAUAGACAGCUUAGCCAAAGGUGCUAUAUAAAAUCUCUAUAUAAACAAACAGAAAGAGUUACUACGUAUACAAUUAGAAGAAGUUACUGAGAGGUAAGUCCAAUUCUAAUAAGACAACAUUACGUUUUUAUCCGUAACAAUGUGCUUCAUCAGGUGUGAGUUGUUUAGGACAAGGAACAACUUAUUAUAUUAUUGUUUUAAACAUUAUUAAAACAUAUAUGGAUGGAUGAAAAGAACAACAUUUUUUUCUGAAAAAUAUUUCAAGCUUUUAUGAACUUACUGCAGUUUAGAUUGGUAUAUCCCCAAAAUCGUAUCAACUAUUAACAUGGUCUUAUACAACUGUCAAAAGUUGUAGUUGUAUACUUAUAUCGAUAUUGUUUUCCGGUCCAUCCGAAGUAUUAUCCAUAUUCAUACUAAUUAAUUUAUCCGGUCAAGAUAUCCAACUAACAUGUUAUGGUGAGCCGAGGUCGCCUAAAUUUUUGUGUUGUGGUGAGCCGAUGUCGCAUAAAUGUUUGUGUUUUGGUGAGCCGAUGUCGCCUAAAUGUUUUUGUUGUGGUGAGCGGAUGUCGCCUAAAUGUUUGUGCUGUGGUGAGCAGAUGUCGCUAAAUGAUUGUGUUGUGGUGAGCCGAUGUCGCCUAAAUGUUUGUGUUGUGGUUAACCGAGGUCGCCUAAAUGAUUGUAUUGUGGUGAGCCGAUGUCGCUUUAAGGUUUGUAUUGUUUCUUCAUUCUACAACGAAUGAGUAUAUAUGUCAGGCAACCCAACGACAACAUCGAAUUCAUUACCUUUGUUUGCCCGUUAUAGUUUAAUUGGUUGAUGUUACUGCAUUCUGACAAAGCAAAGUAACGUGAUAGACACGAAGAAAAAAUAUAUGCAGCUGCAACCAGUGCUAGGGGUCACCUGUAACGUGCUGUGAGGUGUGAGGGUUGUGAUAGGGACCGUCUUGAACGUGUAGUGAAUGUGUGCAUUUUUUCAGUAUGAACUUUACAUGGAGAACAGCAAUAUAAUGGUCAUUGCUUAACUAUGUGUUUGCAAUUGUAAAAGGCUUGCCAGGAUUUUGUGUCAUGAAAUAAUGUACCAUUUCUUUUCUUUUUAUUUGUAUUUUUCUUUUCGCCACCUUAUAUAUAUUUACUGAAACACAAAUCAAUAAAUAAGCAAAUCAAAACAAGCUUUUUUGAUUUUUAGAUUCAAACAACCAAGAAUAACUAACGGAAAUGAAGGUAUUUGUGUUUGUGUUGUUAGCCAUUGUAUUGGUGACGGUUGCUGAAAGUCGACGAGGUGGAAAGGGAAAAGGAAAGGGACAUGGAAAGGGACCCGGACAUGGAAAGAGACCGGGAAGACUACCAUUUAUGUGUGAAGGUAGGUUUUCAAUAUAGUUUACACAGUUUCCAAUUAUGAAUGAAGUACAUUUAAAAAGUGGGAAUAAAUCUUCAUAGGUAAUUAGUGUU
RNAcentral lists this long non-coding RNA (2796 nucleotides) under Mytilus galloprovincialis (Mediterranean mussel). The record is from RNAcentral. Lineage: Eukaryota; Metazoa; Mollusca; Bivalvia; Mytilida; Mytilidae.